UAAAGAGCCGUUAGAGCAAUUUUAGGAAGCAUAAAUGGCAAUUAAAAUGGGCAAAAAAAUAGCCGUUGCUGACAUUUUCCGUCGCAGGGGUCGACUCAUGAGUCGACUCAUGCAUCAGGAGUCGACUCAUGAGUCGACUUCUGUUGCAACAGCCAGAAAAUGAGUUUCUGCAACUUUUAGCCUAAAACUGCAGGGGUCGACUCAUGGGGGUCGACUCAUGCCUGGGGGUCGACUCAUGAGGGUCGACUCACAGGGUGUGCCAAUCAGCUCAUUG
This 274-nucleotide long non-coding RNA is filed under the name Elaeis guineensis (African oil palm). RNAcentral's name for it is "long non-coding RNA (EGUI_LNC021992)". Lineage: Eukaryota; Viridiplantae; Streptophyta; Magnoliopsida; Arecales; Arecaceae. The record is from RNAcentral.